AUGCAGCUGCGAGAUGAUACUGAAGACGACACAGCUUCCGAACUGCUUGAAACUGUUUCUCUAAAUAAUGAAUGCAAAAAAUACGCUGAGGAAGCAAGGGAGCAGUACAAUGCAAGGAGGCGUGCAGCUUAUCGGAAGAAAAAUAAUGAGGAUAUUGUCAGCUUACAAGAUGAGAAUCAGCCGAUCAUAGGGAUCUUAUCAACGCUCGUAGGCGGGUGGCUUAUCGCAAUAACAAGUCAGAUGGUUCGGCUAACCAACAAGUCAAUGGGAAGUCAUCCCGUCCCCAGUCUCUAUGUGAUAUCACAAAUGUUCUCGAAGAUAGGGAGAUAA
Molecule: ribosomal RNA, 330 nt
Filed under: Triticum aestivum (bread wheat)
Lineage: Eukaryota; Viridiplantae; Streptophyta; Magnoliopsida; Poales; Poaceae
Description: partial small subunit ribosomal RNA
Source: RNAcentral